ACGACCUUACUUGAACAGGAUCUGUUCUAUAGGCUCUUACCUCUGUAUCCUUGAUUACUAAGGAGACAGGCCCCAAACCCUGGUUGAUGAAAUAUGGCCGUGCGAUCAGAGUGUGAUUAACGGCUACGAUCGUCUUUAAAAUCAGUUGCAAAAAAAAAAAAAAGGUUGAAAACAAAACUAUGGAGAUUAGGACACGACGAAGACGUCCGCACAUACCUGAGAUAAGAG
Molecule: small nucleolar RNA, 228 nt
Filed under: Brassica napus (rape)
Lineage: Eukaryota; Viridiplantae; Streptophyta; Magnoliopsida; Brassicales; Brassicaceae
Description: snoRNA Plant_U3
Rfam family: Plant small nucleolar RNA U3
About the family: Small nucleolar RNAs (snoRNAs) are involved in the processing and modification of rRNA in the nucleolus. There are two main classes of snoRNAs: the box C/D class, and the box H/ACA class. U3 snoRNA is a member of the box C/D class.
Source: Rfam by way of RNAcentral